RNAcentral lists this signal recognition particle RNA (97 nucleotides) under Alphaproteobacteria bacterium. Its description in RNAcentral is "signal recognition particle sRNA small type". It matches the Rfam family "Bacterial small signal recognition particle RNA". From Rfam's summary of the family: The signal recognition particle (SRP) is a universally conserved ribonucleoprotein involved in the co-translational targeting of proteins to membranes. Archaeal SRP consists of a 7S RNA and homologues of the eukaryotic SRP19 and SRP54 proteins. The record is from RNAcentral. Lineage: Bacteria; Pseudomonadati; Pseudomonadota; Alphaproteobacteria.
GGAGAUUGGCGGCGGGCAAGCGCCUCGCCAACCCGGUCAGGUCCGGAAGGAAGCAGCCGUAACGAGUUCCGCUUGGGUCGCCUGUCCAAUCUCCCAC